GAUGAACGCUGGCGGCGUGCCUAAUACAUGCAAGUCGAGCGAACAGACGAGGAGCUUGCUCCUCUGACGUUAGCGGCGGACGGGUGAGUAACACGUGGAUAACCUACCUAUAAGACUGGGAUACCUUCGGGAAACCGGAGCUAAUACCGGAUAAUAUAUUGAACCGCAUGGUUCAAUAGUGAAAGACGGUUUUGCUGUCACUUAUAGAUGGAUCCGCGCCGCAUUAGCUAGUUGGUAAGGUAACGGCUUACCAAGGCGACGAUGCGUAGCCGACCUGAGAGGGUGAUCGGCCACACUGGAACUGAGACACGGUCCAGACUCCUACGGGAGGCAGCAGUAGGGAAUCUUCCGCAAUGGGCGAAAGCCUGACGCAGCAACGCCGCGUGAGUGAUGAAGGUCUUCGGAUCGUAAAACUCUGUUAGUAGGGAAGAACAAAUGUGUAAGUAACUAUGCACGUCUUGACGGUACCUAAUCAGAAAGCCACGGCUAACUACGUG
This 497-nucleotide ribosomal RNA is filed under the name uncultured bacterium. RNAcentral's name for it is "partial 16S ribosomal RNA". It matches the Rfam family "Bacterial small subunit ribosomal RNA", at positions 28 to 507 of the family's 1533-position model. The record is from RNAcentral.